Molecule: transfer RNA, 72 nt
Filed under: Puccinia sorghi
Lineage: Eukaryota; Fungi; Basidiomycota; Pucciniomycetes; Pucciniales; Pucciniaceae
Rfam family: tRNA
About the family: Transfer RNA (tRNA) molecules are approximately 80 nucleotides in length. Their secondary structure includes four short double-helical elements and three loops (D, anti-codon, and T loops). Further hydrogen bonds mediate the characteristic L-shaped molecular structure. tRNAs have two regions of fundamental functional importance: the anti-codon, which is responsible for specific mRNA codon recognition, and the 3' end, to which the tRNAs corresponding amino acid is attached (by aminoacyl-tRNA synthetases). tRNAs cope with the degeneracy of the genetic code in two manners: having more than one tRNA (with a specific anti-codon) for a particular amino acid; and 'wobble' base-pairing, i.e. permitting non-standard base-pairing at the 3rd anti-codon position.
Source: Rfam by way of RNAcentral
GUGUACUUAGCUGAAUGGUUAGAGCAUCACUCAUGAAUGCUAAGGUUGUGGGUUCAAGUCCAACAGUACACA